This is an RNA transcript of Cebus imitator (Panamanian white-faced capuchin), 1462 nucleotides long. It is a transcript of the gene named teratocarcinoma-derived growth factor 1-like, with no coding region annotated. The record is from RefSeq and is a predicted model, not a curated record. The transcript is spliced from 2 exons. NCBI's taxonomy places the organism in Eukaryota, Metazoa, Chordata, Mammalia, Primates, Cebidae.
AUGUUCAUAAGCAGGUUAAAGGUGUGGCUGCCCGUGACAUUGCUGUCUGUCUGCUUUCAAGCCCAGACCACCUACUGGAAUGUAGAUGGGCUGGGCCAUCAGGAACUUGCGCGUCCAUCUCAGGGAGACCUGGCCUUCAGAGAUGACAGCAUUCGGCCUCAGGAGGAUCCUGUGAUUUGCCCUUGGUCUUCCAAGCUUAUGCCGCCUGUGGGGAUACAGCACAGUUAGGAGCUAAACAGAACCUGCUGCCUGAAUGGGAGAACCUGCAUGCUGGGGUCCUUUUGUGCCUGUCUGCCUUCCUUCUCUGGAUGGAACUGUGAGCACGAUGUGCGCAAAAAGAAAUAUGGGUCUGUGCCCCAUGACACCUGGCUUCCCAAGAAGUCUUCCCUGUGUAAAUGCUGGCACGGCCAGCUCCGCUGCUUUCCUCAGACUUUCCUACCUGGCUGUGAUGGCCUUGUGAUGGAUGAGCACCUCAUGGCUUCCAGGACUCCAGAACUACCACCGUCUGCACCUACCCCUUUGAUGCUAACUGGCAUCUGCCUUUCUAUAGAAAGUUACUAUUCAUUGACAUUGACCUAUUUCCAGAAAUACGAUUUUAGAUAUCAGGCAAAUUUCAUGACCAGUAAAGGUUGUUGCUACAAUGUCCUGUCUGAAAUUCAGAUGAUCAUUUGUUAGUUGCUUUAAAAUAAUGAAUACAUUUCCAAAAUGGUCUCUAGCAUUUCCUUACAAAAUCCAACUACUUCUUACCUCUUUGCCCCACCCUCCGCCAAAAAACUACUUCUUUUUGCAAAAGAAAGUCAGCCAUAUCUCCGUUGUGCCUAAGUCCAGUGUUUCUUGAUACAUGUAAUUCUACCAAGGUCUUCUUAAUAUGUUCUUUUAAACAAUUGAGUUAUCUCUUCAGAUUGUUAAAGACUAAUCCUAAUGUGGACCUUAGGAUACAGUUUUGAGUAGAGUUGAUCAAAAUCAAUUAAAAUAGUCUUUUUAAACGGAAAUAAAGCCUCUUUAAGGGGAGGAACCAGAGUGCUGAAGGAAGGGAAGUACGUCUGCAUGUGUGCAGGGAGACUGGGUAGGAAAGAGGAAGCCAGUGGGGGAGAGCGGUUGGAAAACAUAAAAUGAGUUACUUGAUUGGUAAUUAGAUGGCUGUAGAGAAGCAAGUUAAAAGGCUAAAUGGAAGGGCAAGUUUCCAUCAUCUAUAGAAAGCUAUAUAAGGCAAGGACUCCCCUUUUGUUUCCAAAGGCAUUGUAAGAAGAAUGAAGUCUACUUAGAAAAAAAAUUAUACCUCAACGUCCGCAACAGGAUUGCAUAAUAAAUUUUUUCCUCCAAGCUAUGCAAUUCUUUUAACUGUUGUAUAAGAGAAAAUGUUCACAAUAUAUUUAGUUGUAAACCAAGUGAUAAAACUACAUAUUGUAAAGCUCAUUUUUAUAAUACAUUGCAUAUAUGUGUAUGCACAGUAAAAGUAGAA